AAACAACUCUCAGCAACGGAUAUCUUGGCUCUUGCAACGAUGAAGAACGCAGCA
RNAcentral lists this ribosomal RNA (54 nucleotides) under Leucodon pendulus. RNAcentral's name for it is "partial 5.8S ribosomal RNA". It matches the Rfam family "5.8S ribosomal RNA", at positions 1 to 50 of the family's 154-position model. From Rfam's summary of the family: 5.8S ribosomal RNA (5.8S rRNA) is a component of the large subunit of the eukaryotic ribosome. Lineage: Eukaryota; Viridiplantae; Streptophyta; Bryopsida; Hypnales; Leucodontaceae. The record is from RNAcentral.